GGGUUCCGUCGCCGGCGAACGGGGCGAGAGUCGCUGCCGGCAGCUCGAUGACGACUUUCCCGUGGCAGGGCCAACGGUUCUUCUGCUCGGAGCCUU
This 96-nucleotide transfer RNA is filed under the name Rathayibacter tanaceti. RNAcentral describes it as "tRNA-Gly". The record is from RNAcentral. Lineage: Bacteria; Bacillati; Actinomycetota; Actinomycetes; Micrococcales; Microbacteriaceae.